RNAcentral lists this ribosomal RNA (297 nucleotides) under uncultured bacterium. RNAcentral's name for it is "partial 16S ribosomal RNA". It matches the Rfam family "Bacterial small subunit ribosomal RNA", at positions 28 to 320 of the family's 1533-position model. The record is from RNAcentral.
GAUGAACGCUAGCGGCAGGCUUAAUACAUGCAAGUCGAGGGGUAACAGGGGUAGCAAUACCUGCUGACGACCGGCAAACGGGUGCGGAACACGUACGCAACUUUCCCAAAACUCGGUGAAUAGCCCUCCGAAAGGAGGAUUAAUACACCGUAACAUAAUGAAGUGGCAUCACUUUAUUAUUAUAGCUCCGGCGGUUUUGGAUGGGCGUGCGCCUGAUUAGGUAGUUGGCGGGGUAACGGCCCGACCAAGCCUGCGAUCAGUAACUGGUGUGAGAGCACGACCAGUCACACGGGCACU